CUUGAUGCUGGGGAUUUAUUUUUGUCAGUGGAGUCAAAUGGUCUAGAUGAUCACAUCUGUCUUUGUCAUUAAAAUGAGGUGGACUUGCAAACUUUGCGCUCUUUUGGGUUGAAGCAGAAUUUGCCCGUCUUACAUCUGUUGACCUGAAAGGGUUCCUUUUUGCUGUGCUUGACCAUUAUGGAGAGGUUCGUGGAGCUGUACAAAAUCAAGAGCGGCAUAGGAGGGCUAACUAGGCUCAUAAAAUGCUUCAAUGAUGAUAGCCCUACACAAAGGAAGAGGACAGAGGACCUCAUUUUCUAAAGGAAGAUCCCUCACACACUUUCAAGACUGUGAAGCCGACAGGUAUUGAAGACACGUUUUCUAAGAGGAUGAAAGUUGGCAUUGCGAUGGUGAAAGAAGAAGACAUCAUCGAUGUGUUGGUUGUCCUUGAGGCGGCAGUAAUCCUGUCUAAUCUGAGGGAUGUCUCAAGUGCCAUUUCCAUGCUGAUGGGCCUUCUUUUUGCCCUCAACAUAGACUAUCCAAAGGAACUUAAGGACAUCUUUGAAGUCAUUCAGAACAUCCUAAUGAACAUUGGUGGAAGGCAGUGCAUCUCACUAGUGCAUGGUCUAAGAAACAGACUCUUGCAGAAAGCCAUGCAA
Molecule: long non-coding RNA, 638 nt
Organism: Oreochromis aureus
Lineage: Eukaryota; Metazoa; Chordata; Actinopteri; Cichliformes; Cichlidae
Source: Ensembl